Molecule: non-coding RNA, 4018 nt
Organism: Vicugna pacos (alpaca)
Lineage: Eukaryota; Metazoa; Chordata; Mammalia; Artiodactyla; Camelidae
Source: RefSeq, a predicted model, not a curated record
GAAGUCUGAAGCUCAUUGUCAUUUGCAGUGCAUCCUAGCACCAUGCUGGUCAGCAAACUGAAAAAUGUCGUUUCAUGAAAUAGAAGAAACAAGAAUGGAUCUUUUCUGUAUCCAUAGAAAAAUUUUCCAUUUCACUUCAUGUCUAUUUCAAGAAAUUUGGUUGAAGGCUUCGAGGGAAAAUGAACCAAAUGACUUGAGUCUGGAGGUCUUCACAUUCCCCUUUUAGAAUCAGGGUUCACAGAUUACUUCUAAUUCUCUGGAGAAAUAAUGAGCACCAUCUUGAAAUGAAAUAGACACGGCCUUCGGUAAUGCGCUGCGAUGCACUGCCCGCACGGUGGGGCUGAACGUGGUCCCUGGGAGCCAUGUGAACGAGGACCCACCACUGUCCUGGGUGCCUGGUUGGAAAGCGCCCCGUCCUCACGCCCAGCGUCACCAUGCCCCCUGGCUGAGCACAAGCGCCUUGCGCUCGGCGGGGCGAUGAGUCACGUAAGAGGACAAGCCUGCCCCUCCGAGCAGACGAAGGUGCUGGCCCCUGAAUGGGGCCGGAGGCGGGUGCUUUCCCUUGGCUGCUCCUUAUGCCUUAAAGACUCAGAGUUUUCUCCUCUCUUCUUUCUCAUGUCCCAAAUUCCCUGCAGUCUCAUUGCUUCGACUUUGUCACAAAACCAAGUCUAAAUCCAGAAAGGAUGAGAAUUUGUCCUCGGGGGCUUUGCGAUGAAGUAAGACCAACGGCAUUUCGCUCUCUGGCUCAGAGUUUACUUUCAGCAGGGAAAAUAACGCCUGCGGAUCCCCGCCUGGCUCCAGCAAACAUAAACUGUGUCUCUGAGAAACAACUGCUUGAUUAAUGCAGCCAAUUCCAGCAAACAACUUAAACCUUCACGGAGAAAAGGCAGCGAAGAUGCCUGUCUGACCAUCCAGGCCGAGCCAGCGCUGGGCCUGGGGGGCAGCUGCAUCAGCCCCGCUGGUGUCCUGCGCAGCCGGGCUGCCCCCGACAUCCGGGCACCUCCAGGCACGGUCACUGCAAACAGGAGGCUGUGCGUCCGGCCAGAGCCAGUAAAACGAGAGGGCUCGGAGCCCGUGAUGUGGCGUCGGGACAGCUCGAGCCUGGCGGUCACCACCGGCCUCCCAGCACUGUGUCUCCUCCCCCACGUGCCUCCCCCAGCACCCUGGGCACGGGAGGGCUGGCUCAGGGGAGGGGCUCGUCACAGAGCAGCCCGCCUGCCUCGUACUGGUCCGCCGGCUGGUCAUCUCCAGCGGCUUAGUUCUGGCCCUCACCAACUCUUCAGGACAGCUGUGGCUGCCUUGUUCACCUCUCUGUCUUCGUCUGUCGGCCUUCCAAACGUCUCCCGUGCAGGACAAGAGCGGUUUUCCAAGUGGAGGGUGACUGAAUGGCCAGGCGGCCUGGAACAAGCAAGGACGAGUGGGCCCUGCCCAUGGAGGCAGGGUUCCUACUGAGCAGACCCACAUCUUCACUUUGAGCAGAUGCAAAACCCCAAGGCAGCUCUGUCUUUGGAGUAAGCCUGUAACCUAGAGUGCUGUCCUCUACAAUUCCAAGGGGGUCAGGCAGAGACCCAGGGCUCCAAGCCUUAUAACCCCAGGCCCCACCAGCACCUCUCCUGGGUCUGCGGGAAGCAAAGCCUUCGGAAUUUCUCAAAGCAUUGUGUUUUCUAGCAACUCUACAUCCCCAGGGCCCUUGGAGCCUCCAUGGGACGUUAUGGCCUCUGAUAUCAUUCCAAUCUCCUUCCCUUAGGAACCUACCAACUCCCGGGCCUCAGGUGACACCCCUAUGGAGUCUGCAUCCCUGCCCUUGGAGUGUGAGCUAGGGCUGGAGGACUUGAGGAGUGGGCAACAAUUGCCAAGGGCCGUCGACUACAGUCCAAAUCCUCAGCUCAGGCCUCAGUGGAAGAGCAGACCAGAGGCCUGACAGGACACACGCACCCAGGCGCUAUUGCUUGAAACUGAAAUUAGUCAUGCUUUUGGUGUUAAGAAAAUAACAAUAAAAUUAUAUCAAAUGUUCAAAAAAAUUAAGGUAACAACAAAAAAGAUAAAUAAAAUUUCUUUAUGCGAAAUUUCUCAAGCCUUUAACAAGCCAGUGUACAUUAAGACUCACCAAGAAGAGGAUCUAGCAUGCAGUAUUUCACAGACUUACUCAGUGGGACUUUGGAAUGGGAUUCUAUUUCGCAGAAUCCACAUUGGAAAAAGUUGGGGUGGAUUAUUAGCUAUGAUAUGUACAGGGACAUCAGGAGGACAGAUAAGCCCCAAAUGUUUAUAAUAAUUCUGAAAAAAUUGGAAGCAAUCUUCAUGUCCUCUGGAAAACAGAUGAGCUCGUAUUAGAAUGUCACUCAGAAUAUGACCAUAGUCUACAUGGCAUAGAAACCAUAUAAGAAAUUAGGUACAUUUUAAAAAUUAGGAACAAAGCUUGUGAGUGAUGAUUAUAAUUAUUUCUUAAAAACCAAACACAGCAUCCGGCUGUCAGAGGGGCACUGAAGCUGGGACUUGUCCUCCUGCCGUCAGCGAGUGAAACUGGACAGACUGUAUGAAGCAACUGUUUUCAGAUUUUGGAGACCAGGAAGUGAAAGACUGUGGUCCCUGAGAGACAGGAAACAAACGAGAUGGAUGCAAAAUUUCCUAGACUUACUUCCAGGAGGCAAACUGCAGACUGUAAUGCAGAGAGAAGAACCCCUACCAGAGCAAGGCUGUACCACUGGGUGGAGGGAACUGAGGACUUUGCAAGGCCGAGUACUGGAGAGGGGGAAACCAUGCAGAGAAAGACCUCAGGAUCCUGCUAAGUGUCCCCUCAAGUCACUGGAUGAACACCACUCUGCACAUGCACAGAGUGAAGCUCUAUGCGGAUGGAUGAAGAAGAGCCUCCAGGUGCAGAAAAGGCAACAGGAACCUGUAAGUUCGAACAAACCCCCGGGGUUUCUCAGACAGCAGAGCCAGAAACCUUUUGACUUGCCGCCAGCCAGAGAGGAGAGACCUUGUCAAACACACAGGGUCUUCAACAGAGACGUCAGAAGGGCUGUGCCACAGCGGCGGGCCAAACUAGCCCUGGAAGAAAACGCUAAAAAAGAUCAAAUGCACACUUCAAAACCAGCGGAUGAGUCACAGAUAACUUAACUGUCUGCCAGCGCAAAGCCUAGCAGUCUCAAAAACAACAAAGAAACAAAAAACCCUAAACUAAAAAAAAAAAAAAAAAAAGACAACGUUUGGGUGUCUAUUUUAAAAUUACUAGACACAUUACAAAGCAGGAAGCUGUAACACGUAUAAAGAGAGAGCUCUGUCAAUAAAAACAAAACCAGAUUAUCAAUAUUAUGAAGAUGGUAAAAUGAGAAGAAAGUAAUUUCAAAGCAUGUAUGUAUAUAUGCUUUGAAAUAUACAUGUAUAUACGUAAUAUGCUCAAUGGUUGAAGGGAAAACACGAAUUUAAGGAAGAAAGAAAUAAAAAAUACAAAAAGAAUUAAAUGGAAUUUCUACAGAUAAAUAGCCCUGAAAUAUAAAUUUUCAUUGGCUUGGGUUAAGAGAAUAUUAAACAUUGCAAGAGAUCAGUGCACGUGAAGACAUGGCAACAGAACUACCCAUCACAAAGCAUACAGAAAAAACUGCAUGAAAAAUCAUAACCAGAUUCCGAGUGACCUGUGAGACAACAUUAAGCCACCUAACAUGGAAUAAUCAGAGUCAGAAAAGAGAGAGAGAAGGAUCAGAAAUAAUACGUGAGGAAAUGGGCGGAAGUAUUUUAAAUUUGAUGAAAACUGUAACCCACAGAUCCAAGUAGUCCAAUAAGCCCUGUUCUGAAUAAACACAAAGAAAACCACACCAAAGCACAUCACUGUAAAAUUUCUGAAAACCAGUGAUAAAGAGAAAAGCCUUAAAAGUAGCCAGAGGUUCAAGAGAAAAAGUACAUUACAGACAAAGAAACAAAGACGUUUUGUUAGCAACUAUACUGAGGGCAUUAUGUUGAGUGAAAUAAGUCAGAGAAAAGACAAAUACUGUAUGAUCUCACUUACACGUGGAGUCUAAAA